AGAAUUUAUAACCUAUACAUCACUAGUAUAACUACACUUAAAUAGGAUAUUCAUUCUCAUGUUCAAUGUAUAGGAGUUACAAAGGUAAGAAUUAUAAAUGGACAUUCAUACACAUAAUUAUAAUAUUUAUAACAAAAUUUAAAUUGUUGGAUUAUGAUAUUUUAGAUGUUUAGUAUGAUGAAAAGCAUUGAAAAUUGUGAGCUGGGUUCUAUAAAAAUUGUCUAUCAAAACAAGUUCUAAAUUAAAAAUGUUACAAGUAUCCCAACAUUUAAAGCAGUGAAUAUGUUAAAUAACAAGUAAUCACGAAACUAAAGCAUUCGCAUGAGCUUGCAGUUUUAAUUUUCUUCUCUUUAACUCUAGAUCCUUCAAUCAUUGCACUUAGAAUAGUUACAGCUUCAUUAUCUACACAUACUUUUUGCAGUUUCAAUGCAGACCUACAUGGCAUACCAAAAUCGUUAUUGAAAAAAAAAAGAAAAUGAUGCUUUAACCCAUAUUAAACUGGUAAGCUCUUUGGUUAUCAUGAUUCAUGAUUAUAUACAUCCACUAAUAUUUGGUUUCUUGAAAUUGAAAAUGGUCGAGAAGCUUACCAAGGAAGCAGGAGGAGUCAUGUCUACAUUUGACUUCUCUUUUUGUAUUUUCAAACCCAAGCCCUCUCUCAGUAUAACAAUCAAACAAUCAAACAAAAGGAAGACAUCACUAAGAAUCACAACUCAUAUUAACACUCAAUUAUAUUACAACUCUUCCAAGAAAGGGUAUUUACCGUCAUCGGAUCCUCAUCUGGCAUCGCGACGGAUAAACUGUCUCCAUAUUCACCAGCAACCACGAGAAACUGUAUAACGAAUGAGCAUAUAAAAUGGAUUUUUCUUCAAAAUCAUAUCGCCUAUGAUAAAAACGAAAAUAUUCUUCAAAAUUUCAGGUUCAUCUUAAAAGAAUUGAAAUUUCAUAAUUAAAUUUGAGAGAGAAAAGUGGAAAUCAUGAAGCGGGAGGGGGGUUGUGUUCGAUAAAAGGUUAACAGAUUUGUAACCCAACCUAUGGUUUUUUUGGUUGACGAUUUUCAUACUGAUUAAUGGUUUGAUUUGGGUGACUUACCAAACUGAGUCAGUGGCCCAUUCAAUUUGUUUAUGCAAUCCAGCAUGGAGAUCGCCUAAGUGGUAUUGUCGGAUCCUUCACCGUCGUGCAUGCACUGUAAAAUCACCAUAGAACUAGUUCUGAAAAUCAACCCCAAACCCAUCCGGAGAUCGAAAUAAAAAAACCUCAAUUUGUAAUCAACUGUAAAAUGAUCAGAUUUAUGAUAAUCGAGUUAUAAUUAGAGAUUGGAAUAAGGGUACCUGCUAAAAUUUCUACAACGGAUGACCGUCCACCGCUAGAUACAGAGGAAUCGAGAGCCCACUUUUCUAUGGAUGAGAAGUAUCAUCCCGGUGCUCAAAACAGCGAGAUGCGAUGAGGUGCAAUGAGAUGAGAUUAGGAGAUUAGGGUGGAUCGAAGAUUUUAACUCUAGAAUGAGAUGCAAACAAUUCAACAAAACUUCUUCACUGAAAUGAAUCAUCCAAUUAUAAUGAGAGAGAUCC
Molecule: long non-coding RNA, 1568 nt
Filed under: Linum usitatissimum (flax)
Lineage: Eukaryota; Viridiplantae; Streptophyta; Magnoliopsida; Malpighiales; Linaceae
Description: long non-coding RNA (LUSI_LNC004878)
Source: RNAcentral